Molecule: transfer RNA, 73 nt
Filed under: Chrysemys picta bellii (western painted turtle)
Lineage: Eukaryota; Metazoa; Chordata; Testudines; Emydidae
Description: tRNA-Val (TAC) (tRNA-Val-TAC-2-1)
Rfam family: tRNA
About the family: Transfer RNA (tRNA) molecules are approximately 80 nucleotides in length. Their secondary structure includes four short double-helical elements and three loops (D, anti-codon, and T loops).
Source: Rfam by way of RNAcentral
GGUUCCAUAGUGUAGUGGUUAUCAUGUCUGCUUUACAUGCAGAAGGUCCUGGGUUUGAGCCCCAUUGGAACCA